GAGGGUUGAUAGGUUAAGAGCUGAUUGACUGGACGUUACCCACAGAAGAAGCACCGGCUAACUCCGUGCCAGCAGCCGCGGUAAUACGGAGGGUGCGAGCGUUAAUCGGAAUUACUGGGCGUAAAGAGUGCGUAGGUGGUUAAUUAAGUUAUGUGUAAAAUCCCUGGGCUCAACCUGGGCAGGUCAUAUAAUACUGAUUAACUCGAGUAUGGGAGAGGGUAGUGGAAUUUCCGGUGUAGCGGUGAAAUGCGUAGAGAUCGGAAGGAACACCAGUGGCGAAGGCGGCUACCUGGCCUAAUACUGACACUGAGGCACGAAAGCGUGGGGAGCAAACAGGAUUAGAUACCCUGGUAGUCCACGCCGUAAACGAUGUCAACUAGCUGUUGGUUAUAUAAAAUGUGAUUAGUGGCGAAGCAAACGCGAUAAGUUGACCA
Molecule: ribosomal RNA, 434 nt
Filed under: uncultured Legionella sp.
Lineage: Bacteria; Pseudomonadati; Pseudomonadota; Gammaproteobacteria; Legionellales; Legionellaceae
Description: bacterial SSU rRNA
Rfam family: Bacterial small subunit ribosomal RNA
Source: RNAcentral